CAUAGACCCCCAUAGAGACCCCAUGGACCCCCAUAGACUCCCCAUAGGGACCCCAAAGACCCCCAUAGGGACCCCAUAGACCCCCAUAGAGCCCCCAUAGACCCCAUAUCUCCCUGCCCCUUUACCCCCCCCACUUGUAGGGCCGGGGAUGGGCGCCCCAUUGGCGGUGGUGGGACAUAGGGACCCAUAGGGACCCCAUAGAGCCCCAUAGAGACCCCAUAGAGCCCCAUAGAGUCCUCAUAGACCCCCAUAGAGUCCCCAUAGACCCCCAUAGACCCCCAUAGACCCCCAUGGUGACCCCAUAGACCCUCAUAGAUCCCCAUAGGGACCCCAUAGAGCCUCAUGGAGCCCCCAUAGACCCCCAUAGACCCCCAUAGAGUCCCCAUAGAGCCCCAUAGAGCCCCUAUAGACCCUCACAGAGCCCCAUAGAGACCCCAUAGACCCCCAUAGGGACCCCUUAGAGCCCCUUGGAGCCCCCAUAGACCCCCAUGGAGACGCCAUAGACCCCCAUAGAGAUCCCAUCGACCCCCAUAGAGCCUCAUAGACCCCCAUAGA
Molecule: long non-coding RNA, 555 nt
Filed under: Gallus gallus (chicken)
Lineage: Eukaryota; Metazoa; Chordata; Aves; Galliformes; Phasianidae
Description: lncRNA (ENSGALG00010000136.1)
Source: RNAcentral